This 380-nucleotide ribosomal RNA is filed under the name uncultured bacterium. Its description in RNAcentral is "bacterial SSU rRNA". It matches the Rfam family "Bacterial small subunit ribosomal RNA", at positions 29 to 417 of the family's 1533-position model. The record is from RNAcentral.
AUUGAACGCUGGCGGCAUGCUUUACACAUGCAAGUCGAACGGGCUGGGGGCAACUCCAGUCAGUGGCGAACGGGUGAGUAAUGCAUCGGAACGUGUCCCGUAGUGGGGGAUAACCCGGCGAAAGCCGGACUAAUACCGCAUAUGCUCUACGGAGGAAAGUGGGGGACCGCAAGGCCUCACGCUAUGGGAGCGGCCGAUGUCCGAUUAGCUUGUUGGUGGGGUAAUGGCCACCAAGGCGACGAUCGGUAGCUGGUCUGAGAGGAUGAUCAGCCACACUGGGACUGAGACACGGCCCAGACUCCUACGGGAGGCAGCAGUGGGGAAUUUUGGACAAUGGGGGCAACCCUGAUCCAGCCAUGCCGCGUGCGGGAAGAAGGCCU